GUGUCGUUGGAAUUCACUUCUGUGCGGACUUGAUACUCUACCUACGACGACGAUCAUCAUCAAACUUCAUCAGUAGCAGCAGCAAACACCAGCUUAGCUGAGCUUAGAGCUUAGCUGAAUUGGUUCGUUCGGCUUGGAUGCCCCAAAAGUUCCCAGAGUGGCCAGUGCUAGUGAAUAGUGUGGACACGGACUCUGCUGAAUGUGCGAUUGAUUGCCAUUAAAUGGAUUACGGCGAUUGAAUUUCAGUUCAAUUGAUUAGACUUUCUACUGGCGUUUGGAAUGCAUUUAAUCAGUUUCGGUUCGAGGCUCAUUUUUCGGCUCGGUUUGGUUUUUCCACCAGUAUCAAAGUGCUAAUGAUAUGAGCUGGAGGAAAGUAAGGGUGACAUAUGAAAUAAGUGCUUCUCUAUUUUAGUGUGUGCUUCUAAUUGAAGUUAAUUGGAAGUUUGACUUUUGUGCGCUCUACAUUCGAUUGCGAUACAGAUAGAAUAGUGGCGAAGAGCGCCCAACUAAAGUGGUUCUAACAAACCGAGGGCACCCAUGAUGAUGAUUGGGUAAAUUUGGAUUCUUGUGUGCAAAGUGUGAGGCAGUUGUUUCUGUAUUCUGCUGCCGUAGGGACUGUCAGCUGGAAGUAAGUGAAAAAAAAGACGAUUGCAGGCACUUGUUAAGUUAAGAAUUCCAACCGGAGCAAAAAGCGAAUACCGAACAAACGAGAGACAGUCACAUUCCUUUCGAGUGGUGACAUUGGCGUACACGCAUCCACACCAAUAUGGGAAGAUAUAUUCCUCGCACGGAUCUAGGCCACUCGUCGCUGCUGACAGGGCACGGUGAAAAAGACUAUAAACACGUGUUUCCCGUUCUUUUAAAGUCUUCAGAGCGUGAGGAAGCGAACAACCGCUGUCUUGUUGCUGGCAGCACUGGAGCAGCUCUAUCACCAUCAGCUGUGCACGAACUGAUACGGGCUUAUGUUGGAAAUAAACCCUCAUGAAAACAACUGAACGAUUCAAGGAAUUUAAGGCGAUGCUGACAGUUGGGGUUUUUUUCUGUUCGGUGUUUCCGAUUUGAUUGCUUGAGAUCGACUAACAUGCUGCUGAGGAAUCGCUCAAGUUGUUGUAAUCAGCUGACCGAAAUUUUCGAGCAACU
Uranotaenia lowii is the source of this 1140-nucleotide long non-coding RNA. RefSeq lists it as uncharacterized. The transcript is spliced from 3 exons. The record is from RefSeq and is a predicted model, not a curated record. NCBI's taxonomy places the organism in Eukaryota, Metazoa, Arthropoda, Insecta, Diptera, Culicidae.